Molecule: ribosomal RNA, 497 nt
Filed under: uncultured bacterium
Lineage: Bacteria
Description: partial 16S ribosomal RNA
Rfam family: Bacterial small subunit ribosomal RNA
Source: RNAcentral
GAUGAACGCUGGCGGCGUGCCUAAUACAUGCAAGUCGAGCGAACGGACGAGAAGCUUGCUUCUCUGAUGUUAUCGGCGGACGGGUGAGUAACACGUGGAUAACCUACCUAUAAGACUGGGAUAACUUCGGGAAACCGGAGCUAAUACCGGAUAAUAUUUUGAACCUCAUUGUUCAAAAGUGAAAGACGUUCUUGCUGUCACUUAUAGAUGGAUCCGCGCUGCAUUAGCUAGUUGGUAAGGUAACGGCUUACCAAGGCAACGAUGCAUAGCCGACCUGAGAGGGUGAUCGGCCACACUGGAACUGAGAAACGGUCCAGACUCCGACGGGAGGAAGCAGUAGGGAAUCUUCCGCAAUGGGCGAAAGCCUGACGGAGCAACGCCGCGUGAGUGAUGAAGGUCUUCGGAUCGUAAAACUAUGUUAGUAGGGAAGAACAUAUGUGUAAGUAACUGUGAACAUCUUGACGGUACCUAAUCAGAAAGCCACGGCUAACUACGUG